Molecule: ribosomal RNA, 460 nt
Filed under: uncultured bacterium
Lineage: Bacteria
Description: partial 16S ribosomal RNA
Rfam family: Bacterial small subunit ribosomal RNA
Source: RNAcentral
CCUACGGGUGGCAGCAGUGAGGAAUAUUGGUCAAUGGACGAGAGUCUGAACCAGCCAAGUAGCGUGAAGGAUGACUGCCCUAUGGGUUGUAAACUUCUUUUAUAUGGGAAUAAAAUGUUCCACGUGUGGGAUUUUGUAUGUACCAUAUGAAUAAGGAUCGGCUAACUCCGUGCCAGCAGCCGCGGUAAUACGGAGGAUCCGAGCGUUAUCCGGAUUUAUUGGGUUUAAAGGGAGCGUAGGUGGAUUGUUAAGUCAGUUGUGAAAGUUUGCGGCUCAACCGUAAAAUUGCAGUUGAAACUGACAGUCUUGAGUACAGUAGAGGUGGGCGGAAUUCGUGGUGUAGCGGUGAAAUGCUUAGAUAUCACGAAGAACUCAGAUUGCGAAGGCAGUUCACUGGACUGCAACUGACACUGAGGCUCGAAAGUGUGGGUAUCAAACAGGAUUAGAUACCCGUGUAGUC